GGAAUGGUGAAAAGUACCCCGGGAGGGGAGUGAAAUAGUACCUGAAACCGUGUGCUUACAAGCCGUUGGAGCCUUUUGGGGUGACAGCGUGCCUUUUGAAGAAUGAGCCUGCGAGUUAGUGUUAUGUCGCGAGGUUAACCCGUGUGGGGUAUCCGUAGCGAAAGCGAGUCUGAAUAGGGCGUUUGAGUGGCAUGACCUAGACCCGAAGCGGAGUGAUCUAUCCAUGGCCAGGUUGAAGCGACGGUAAGACGUCGUGGAGGACCGAACCCACUUCAGUUGAAAAUGGAGGGGAUGAGCUGUGGAUAGGGGUGAAAGGCCAAUCAAACUCUGUGAUAGCUGGUUCUCCCCGAAAUGCAUUUAGGUGCAGCGUUACGUGUUUCUUGCCGGAGGUAGAGCUACUGGAUGGCCGAUGGGCCUUCACGGGUUACUGACGUCAGCUAAACUCCGAAUGCCGGUAAGUGAGAGCGUAGCAGUGAGACAGUGGGGGAUAAGCUUCAUUGUCGAGAGGGAAACAGCCCAGACCAUCAACUAAGGCCCCUAAGCGUGUGCUAAGUGGGAAAGGAUGUGGAGUUGCUGAGACAACCAGGAGGUUGGCUUAGAAGCAGCCAUCCUUGAAAGAGUGCGUAAUAGCUCACUGGUCAAGUGAUUCUGCGCCGAUAAUGUAGCGGGGCUCAAGUACACCGCCGAAGUUGUGGCAAUGAUCUUUUUGGAUUGUUGGGUAGGGGAGCGUCGUGUAGCCGGUGAAGCUGCGGUGUAAACCAGUGGUGGAGGCUAUGCGAGUGAGAAUGCAGGCAUGAGUAGCGAAAGAUGAGUGAGAAACUCAUCCGCCGGAUGAUCAAGGGUUCCAGGGUCAAGUUAAUCUGCCCUGGGUUAGUCGGGGCCUAAGGCGAGGCCGACAGGCGUAGUCGAUGGAUAACGGGUUGAUAUUCCCGUACCGGUGAAAAACCGCCCAUACUGAUAUUGUGAUGCUAACCAUGCGAAGCAUGAUGUGCAGGCUUUUGUUUGUGUGUUGUGUGGGUUGUGGGACCCGAUCUUUGGAGGUAAACGUAUUAACAGGUGUGACGCAGGAAGGUAGCCAAGCCACGCGAUGGUUGUCGUGGUCUAAGCGUGUAGGGUUGUCGGUUGUUAAAUGCGCCGGCUGUGUGCCUGAGACGUGAUGGGACCCCGUUUUUGGGGGAUUUGGUGAUCCUAUGCUGCCGAGAAAAGCAUCGGCGUGAGGUUUUAGCCGCCCGUACCCUAAACCGACACAGGUGAUCAGGUAGAGAAUACUAAGGCGAUCGAGAGAAUCAUGGUUAAGGAACUCGGCAAAAUGCCCCCGUAACUUCGGGAGAAGGGGGGCCCUGAGCGUGAUCUGCCCGUGCGGUGGGGAGCGUGUAGGGGUCGCAGAGACCAGGGGGAAGCGACUGUUUAUCAAAAACACAGGUCCGUGCGAAGUCGUAAGACGAUGUAUACGGACUGACUCCUGCCCGGUGCUGGAAGGUUAAGAGGAUUGGUUAGCCCUUUUUGGGCGAAGCUGAGAAUUUAAGCCCCAGUAAACGGCGGUGGUAACUAUAACCAUCCUAAGGUAGCGAAAUUCCUUGUCGGGUAAGUUCCGACCUGCACGAAUGGCGUAACGACUUCUCCGCUGUCUCAACCGCGAACUCGGUGAAAUUGCAGUACGAGUAAAGAUGCUCGUUUCGCGCAG
Molecule: ribosomal RNA, 1684 nt
Filed under: human metagenome
Description: bacterial LSU rRNA
Rfam family: Bacterial large subunit ribosomal RNA
Source: RNAcentral